RNAcentral lists this ribosomal RNA (2178 nucleotides) under Cochliomyia macellaria (secondary screw-worm). Its description in RNAcentral is "eukaryotic LSU rRNA". It matches the Rfam family "Eukaryotic large subunit ribosomal RNA", at positions 34 to 1916 of the family's 3401-position model. Lineage: Eukaryota; Metazoa; Arthropoda; Insecta; Diptera; Calliphoridae. The record is from RNAcentral.
AUUAGCAUAUUAAUGAGGGGAGGAAAAGAAACUAACAAGGAUUUUCUUAGUAGCGGCGAGCGAAAAGAAAAUAGUUCAGCACUAAGUCACUUUGUCUUAAUGGCAAAUGUGAGAUGCAGUGUAUGGAAUGUCAAAUUUCUAGUAUGAGAAAUUAACGAUUUAAGUCCUUCUUAAAUGAGGCCAUUUACCCAAAGAGGGUGCCAGGCCCGUAUAACGUUAAUGAUUACUAGAUGGCAUUUCCAAAGAGUCGUGUUGCUUGAUAGUGCAGCACUAAGUGGGUGGUAAACUCCAUCUAAAACUAAAUAUAACCAUGAGACCGAUAGUAAACAAGUACCGUGAGGGAAAGUUGAAAAGAACUCUGAAUAGAGAGUUAAAUAGUACGUGAAACUGCUUAGAGGUUAAGCCCGAUGAACCUGAAUAUCCAUUAUAGAAAAUUCAUCAUUAUGAUUUUAAUAUUUAUAAUAUUAUAAUAAUGGUGUGCAUUUUUUCUAUAAAAGGACAUUGUAAUCUAUUAACAUCAAAUAUUUAUCAAAAGAUCAAUUGCAAAAGUUUAUUCAAAUUAUUUUGCUUGCAAUUUAACAUAGAAUAAAUGCUUUUGAUUUGAUAAAGUGUUGAUAGAUUUAUUAUAUAUAGUGCUUGAAUAUUUAUAUUCUAUAAUAGCAUAUUAAUCAUUGAUUUUUAUGUUUAUUAUAUGCACUUAUAUGAUUAACAAUGCGAAAGAUUCAGGAUACCUUCGGGACCCGUCUUGAAACACGGACCAAGGAGUCUAACAUAUUUGCAAGUUAUUGGGAAUAAAAACCUAAUAGCGAAAUUAACAUAACUUAUUUAAUGGGAUUAAUUUUUAGCCUAUUUAUAGUCUAUUAAUUCAAUCCCGGGGCGUUCUAUACAGUUAUGUAUAAUAAUAUUUAUAUUAUUUAUACCUCUAACUAGAGCGUACCUUGAGCAUAUAUGCUGUGACCCGAAAGAUGGUGAACUAUACUUGAUCAGGUUGAAGUCAGGGGAAACCCUGAUGGAAGACCGAAACAGUUCUGACGUGCAAAUCGAUUGUCAGAAUUGAGUAUAGGGGCGAAAGACCAAUCGAACCAUCUAGUAGCUGGUUCCCUCCGAAGUUUCCCUCAGGAUAGCUGGUGCAUUUAAAAAUUAUGUAAAAUAAUCUUAUCUGGUAAAGCGAAUGAUUAGAGGCCUUAGGGUCGAAACGACCUUAACCUAUUCUCAAACUUUAAAUGGGUAAGAACCUCACCUUUCUUGGUAUGAAGGUUGUGGUUGUGAUAUAAUGUGCCCAGUGGGCCACUUUUGGUAAGCAGAACUGGCGCUGUGGGAUGAACCAAACGUAAUGUUACGGUGCCCAAAUUAACAACUCAUGCAGAUACCAUGAAAGGCGUUGGUUGCUUAAAACAGCAGGACGGUGGACAUGGAAGUCGUAAUCCGCUAAGGAGUGUGUAACAACUCACCUGCCGAAGCAACUAGCCCUUAAAAUGGAUGGCGCUUAAGUUGUAUACCUAUACAUUACCGCUAAAGUAGAUGGUUUAUGUUCAAUCUCGGUUGGAUUAUAAACUUUGAAACUUUAGUGAGUAGGAGGGUACAAUGGUGAGCAUAGAAGUGUUUGGCGUAAGCCUGCAUGGAGCUGCCAUUGGUACAGAUCUUGGUGGUAGUAGCAAAUAAUCGAAUGAGACCUUGGAGGACUGAAGUGGAGAAGGGUUUCGUGUGAACAGUGGUUGAUCACGAGUUAGUCGGUCCUAAGUUCAAGGCGAAAGCCGAAAAUUUUCAAGUUAUAAUGAAAAGUACUAAAUUGUGCUUAGUAAUUAAACACUUGAAUAAUUUUGAACGAAAGGGAAUACGGUUCCAAUUCCGUAACCUGUUGAGUAUCCGUUUGUUAUUAAAUAUGGGCCUUGUGCUCAUCCUGGCAACAGGAACGACCAUAAAGAAGCCGUCGAGAGAUAUCGGAAGAGUUUUCUUUUCUGUUUUAUAGUCGUACUACCAUGGAAGUCUUUCGAAGAGAGAUAUGGUAGAUGGACUAGAAGAGCAUGACAUUUACUGUUGUGUCGAUAUUUUCUCCUCGGACCUUGAAAAUUUAUGGUGGGGUCACGCAAACUUCUCAACAGGCCGUACCAAUAUCCGCAGCUGGUCUCCAAGGUGAAGAGUCUCUAGUCGAUAGAAUAAUGUAGGUAAGGGAAGUCG